CCUACGGGUGGCAGCAGUGGGGAAUAUUGCACAAUGGGGGAAAGCCUGAUGCAGCAAAGCCGCGUGAGGGAAGAAGGAUUUCGGAAUGGAAAGCUCUAUUAGCAGGGAAGAGAAUGACGGUACGUGAAUAAGAAGCACCGGCUAACUACGUGCCAGCAGCCGCGGUAAUAAGGAGGGGGCAAGCGGUAUCCGGAUUUAAUGGGUGGAAAGGGAGCGUAGAUGGUUGUACAAGUCUGGCGGGAAAGCCCGUGGCUCAACCCCGGAACUGCUUUGGAAAAUGUAAAGCUGGAGUGGUGGAGAGGUAGGCGGAAUUCCUAGUGUAGCGGUGAAAUGCGUAGAUAUUAGGAGGAACACCAGUGGCGAAGGCGGCCUGCUGGACAGAAACUGACGUUGAGGCUCGAAAGCGUGGGGAGCAAACAGGAUUAGAUACCCCUGUAGUC
This 440-nucleotide ribosomal RNA is filed under the name uncultured bacterium. RNAcentral describes it as "partial 16S ribosomal RNA". It matches the Rfam family "Bacterial small subunit ribosomal RNA", at positions 338 to 795 of the family's 1533-position model. The record is from RNAcentral.